RNAcentral lists this ribosomal RNA (497 nucleotides) under uncultured bacterium. Its description in RNAcentral is "partial 16S ribosomal RNA". It matches the Rfam family "Bacterial small subunit ribosomal RNA", at positions 28 to 507 of the family's 1533-position model. The record is from RNAcentral.
GAUGAACGCUGGCGGCGUGCCUAAUACAUGCAAGUCGAGCGAACAGACGAGGAGCUUGCUCCUCUGACGUUAGCGGCGGACGGGUGAGUAACACGUGGAUAACCUACCUAUAAGACUGGGAUAACUUCGGGAAACCGGAGCUAAUACCGGAUAAUAUAUUGAACCGCAUGGUUCAAUAGUGAAUGACGGUUUUGCUGUCACUUAUAGAUGGAUCCGCGCCGCAUUAGCUAGUUGGUAAGGUAACGGCUUACCAAGGCAACGAUGCGUAGCCGACCUGAGAGGGUGGUCGGCCACACUGGAACGGAGACACGGUCCAGACUCCUACGGGAGGCAGCAGUAGGGAAUCUUCCGCAAUGGGCGAAAGCCUGACGGAGCAACGCCGCGUGAGGGAUGAAGGUCUGCGGAUCGUAAAACUCUGUUAUUAGGGAAGAACAAAUGUGUAAGUAACUAUGCACGUCUUGACGGUACCUAAUCAGAAAGCCACGGCUAACUACGUG